This 1257-nucleotide ribosomal RNA is filed under the name Triticum aestivum (bread wheat). RNAcentral describes it as "partial small subunit ribosomal RNA". The record is from RNAcentral. Lineage: Eukaryota; Viridiplantae; Streptophyta; Magnoliopsida; Poales; Poaceae.
AUGGAGGAGGGCGAGGUGGACGAGGGCCAUGGGCGAGGCGGCCAUGGUGGGGAGGCAGGGGGCGGCCAACUCUUGGAGGACGGGCAAGGCGACCAUGGUGGGAAGGCGGGGGGCGGCCAACUCCUGGAGGACGGGCGAGGCAGCCAUGGUGGGGAGGCGGGGGGCGGCCAACCCCUGGAGGACGGGCGAGGCGGCCAUGGUGGGGAGGCGGGGGGCGGCCAACCUGCUGACGACGGGCAAAGCGGCCAUGGUGGGGAGGUGGAGGGCGGCCAUGGUGGGGAGGCCGGCUGUGCGGCGGUCUCAGCCUUGCGUGGUAAAGGCGCAACACCGGAGCAAGGCCAAGUAUCACCGAGGGAUGCGGCUACAUCGGCUUGUCUAGAUGGGAUGGACCAAAAUUCAACUUAUGUGCUGAAAAUCAAUUUGCUUGGCAACCCAAAAAAGGCUAGAAAGGAUAUCAAAUGCUUCUGUUUUGAUAAGGUUAUUGAUUUCGACUUAACAAAUUAUAAGGACUUGGUUGAAUCAAUCGUAGAGCAGUACUCGCCUCGUUAUUUGGAAGUUGCACAUGUUCAGUAUUAUGAUGAUGUUCUUAAAAUCUACCCUGAAGUAACAUCUGACCAAGAAUUGGUGUCGAUGUUUGAGAAACACUCUAAGACAAAGGUUGUGCACAUGUUUGUUGCAUAUUGUGAUCCAUCGGAACCAUAUGAGCCUAUAACGGAGUGGCAUAGUGAUGCGCAUAGCCAACCUAACAACAUAGAACAAGAUGAUGAUGAUGAUUAUCUUCGCAACCCAGUACCUGAGAAUGAGCUUGUUGGUGUUGAUGAGGAAAAUAUUUAUUUAGAGGAUGAACCUGUACCUCUUAUCAUGGUUCCUUGUUCCAACAAAGAAAAGGACAAAGACUAUGUUCCUGAUCAUGAGAGCGAGGCUGAGAGCGAGGAUGAGAGCAUGUCAGAGGUUGAAGUAGAGGAAGAUGAGGAAUAUCACGAGGCAGAUCAUGCACCACACAUUGAAUAUAAUAAAUUAGAUCCUCCAAUGAACGAAGGAAGAAAAUAUCCCAAUAUGGCAGAGUUUAAAUUGGCGCUUUCUCAGCAUGCAAUCGAACAUGAAUUUGAGUUUGACACCGAAAAGAGUGCACCACAUAGGUUCAGAGCUUAUUGUUCAAGAAGGGAUGAAGAUAAGUGUCCAUGGAGGAUAUAUGCUUCUACAAUGGAAGAUGAGUGCACAGUAAUGGUGAGAAAGAACCCUUGUGGUCAUGAUUGA